RNAcentral lists this long non-coding RNA (11196 nucleotides) under Theobroma cacao (cacao). RNAcentral's name for it is "long non-coding RNA (TCAC_LNC003229)". Lineage: Eukaryota; Viridiplantae; Streptophyta; Magnoliopsida; Malvales; Malvaceae. The record is from RNAcentral.
ACCAAUUCAAUAAAAUUUUCGAUAGCAUGACAUGGCUAAUAUAAUAUUACCAGCCUGUCAAGGCAAAGUAAAACAGUUCAUAUAUUCCACACAAACACAAAUCCUGUUGUGCUUGCCAUCACAUUGUCAUAAGCCAUCAAUUCAAACCAUAUGUCAAAACAUAUAUAUAACACAAGUAUACAGUCUCCACUUACUCAAUUUCCAAAACCAGUAUUCAAUUUCAAAACAAGUUAUAAAUCUCAUUUCGUUUAAUCAACACUUCAAUUAUAAAACAUAAUAGUUUGCAAUUUAAAUUCAUUUUUUUAAAACAUAAAAACUAGUAUAAACUACUUUAGAUAGUUAAGAUGAAAGUCUGAUUACUCACAAUAGUAGGAGUUUGGAGUACUCCUAUUCUUGGUCCUCGGGCACAAUAUCUUUACCCUUAUCAAAGGGCUCACCACCUAUACAUAAUACACGACACGUAAUUCAAUAUAUUUGUGCCAAACUGUUAUAAAACUAUUUCAGGCUCUAUAUGAAUGGAUGACAUUGAAUGAGAAUUGUCUGAAUAAUCACUUAAAGAUGGUGUUCUACAUGGGUUCAAUUAUGAUCGGAAUGAAUUUGUAUUCGACCUAAUUCGAACUAUACACUAUUGAUUUAACCAAAACAUUCGAUUCAACUCCAAAUAUAUUCAUUACACUCCCAAUAAUCUAAUACACCAAAGCAUUACAAUGAACUUUGAUUUUUGACUAACUUCACCAUUUUUCGAAAUUCAUUCCGAUUCCAAACUAACAUACUAAUCAAUGUCUACACAGUCUCGUAAAUCCAUAUAUAUCAUUAGGAAUCAAAUCCAAGUCCAUUUACUAUGAUUUUCUCAAUUUCCAUCAAACCAUUUUCUAAAGGAAUUAUACUUUUCAAUAACCGGUUUUGAUAUCCAACAUCAUAAUUCAUCAAUUCCUAGCUAAAUAACAUGAAUUACAACCAAAUCCAUCAACAACAUGCCCUAUAAAAAAUUUGGCCAAAUGAGGGUGGUUGAAGAACAUGUGAUUUUCUUGCUUGUUUUUCCUUCCAAACAUCACAAAAUGACUAAAAACACUAGGAUAUUAUGAAAUCUAGCAAAAUUCAUCACAAAAACUUCUCUCUCUAGAUUUGGCCAGCAAAGGUUCCCUCUUGAAAACUUGAAUUUCAGCCAUGGAGAGUGAAAAAUAAUGCAUGGGAAAGGUAGAUCACAAGCUAAAAUUAAAAAAUCUUACCUUUACUUGCUUAAUUCCUUGAAAUCCAACAAUUUCUCUUGAAUUUUUCCUUCCUAGGGUUUGUUCUUCUCUUUUUCUCUUUGUUCCCUUGCUUGGCUGGCCAUAAGAGUGAAAUGGGAGAAGCUUAAGUCGGUUUAUAAAGGAAAAUCAUAAAAAUAUUAAAGCUUGACACAUGUCACCAUUUAAUUGGUCCAUGAUUAAAAACUUAACCAUUAAGCAAUUUCUCACCACCGCAUGUAAGCCCAUAAUUAUCCAAAGUAUAAAGUGAUAAUAGGUGAAAUUCAUGGGCUUGACAAGUGUCAUGGUGGUGUAAAAUUUCAAUUAUGUCCUCAUGGACACGUGAAAUGACCAUUUUGCCGGUAUACUCGAAAAAUGUCGAAAUUGAAAUUUUUCACUCCACAAUUUCAAAUUAUGCUCCAAAUAGUCAAACUUUGUCAAAAAUCUCGUCCAACAUUCCAAUUUUUCCCUUGGGUGGCAAAAUGACCAUUUUACCCCUACGUUUUGAAAAUUCUCGAAUUAACUCCAAAUCAAUCCUCGAAUUUUGAAUCAUCAUAUUAAGACAUUUUAAGGUUCAACAACUAUCAAAUACAUCAUAAAAUCUUUAUUUGGUCUAGUUCGAGGUUUUAAUCAACUUAAUUGUACCACUAGGUACAAUACUGACUUUUAACGAUUUUUCGAUACAUUCACUUAUGCAUACAUUCUAUCAAGCACAUGAAUGACAUGACAAAUAUAUUAUAGAGUAGGGCUUGAUAGCAUUACCCCCCUUAAAAUAAAAUUUUGACCUCAAAAUUUCACUUACCGGACUUGGAGAAAAAGAUGCGGGUAUUGGUUUCUCAUCUGGUACUCAACUUCCCAUGUCAUUUCCUCCAUCCGAGCAUUUUUUCACAACACCUUAACCAUUGGAAUGUUUUUAUUCCUAAACACUCGAUCCUUUCGAUCUAAAAUACGCACAGCUUGCACCUCGAACGUUAAAUCCUUUUGCAACUCAAUCGGAGGUGCCUCAAGGAUAUGGGAGGGAUCAGGUACAUACUUAUUCAGCAUCGAGACGUGGAAGACUAGGAGACCUCAACCUCUAUAGGCUUGUAACUAAGCAUAGAUGUAAUAACACAAGCUAGGGGUAGUUUCGUCAUUUCUACUAAUAAGUUCCCAGAAGGUGGUUUUAUGAUAUUUUAAGGUCUAAAUAGGCAUAAGACCACAUAAGUAAUGCAUAAUGAUGAAAACAAGAAGAAAACUAGAAAUGACAAUAAUUGUCAUAACAGGGGCAAAAUGGUCAUUUUUUACCUCGGGUCAAAAUUUUUAAGUUUUCAUUAACCAGAGCAUUUCUAGACUAUUAUGGACCUUGUCCCAGUGUCAAAGGAGUAAAAAGAUUGCAUAAAGGGUUAGAGGAGAGCAAGUUAAUUUGUGGAGGGGUAUUUUGGUAAUUUAAGUGGAAUGGAUAAGAUUGGCUAUAAAUAUCUCUUUGUUUCAGCAGCUUCUUCUCCCAUUUUUUUCAGCAGCUUUUCUUCUUCUUCUUCUCCUCCUAAUUCACGUUGCUUUCAACCUCCAUGGAAGCUUGAUAUGGAGCUUGCAUAAUUUUCUCUCUAGCUUUAAUUUUCAUACCUUUGUGCCCUUUUGACUAGAAUCCUUAUAUUCUUUCACUUUCUCACUUCAAAACCCUUGAUAAAUCUUAAUUCCAUACUUUCUUUCACUAGUUGGGCAUUCUAGAGAGAGAAAGAGAGAAUUACCCCAUUUGUUUGGAAGCUAUUGGACAAAAAUUCAACUACAAAGAAACCCUAGGGUGAGUGAUGAACUAAGCUUGAUUUUUAGCUAUGAAUAAUGGCUAGUAAUUUGGAUUAUGAGUUGUUUUAUUGUUGAGUAUGUUCAUUCCUUUUAUAGUGAUUAAGAUAGUGAGCAUAUAUAGCCAUUUAAAGUGGUAAUUGAAAGCUUGCUAAGGGAUAGCUUUUAGAGUUUAUAAGUAUGAAUUGACACUAAGGUAAUGUUAAUUUGAUGGUAGGUUCUAUCAAAGCCCCAUCACCCCAAUUGGAUCAUUAGAGGAAUUAGAGUUAGCUAAAGGCUCAACAAUAUACCAGUGAGUGAACUACCUUCAAAACUUGUUUUGGGGAAUAUAAUGUAUUCGCCACACAUUUGAAUGAAUUAUCAAGUUUUUCAUAAAAACAAGUGCCUUGGGAACAAGCUUUUGCUAAAUGGUUUUAUGUUGUGAUGUGUGAUUGCUAUGGAUUCAUGCACUAUUGCAUUAUGAUGAUAAAUAUAUAUAUGUGUGUUGUGCAUGAUGAUCGAUAUUGUGUAUGAUAACUGUAACCGUGUGUGUGCACAAUGUGGGGAAUGCACAUGCCAAUGAUGAUGGUGGCGUGAGAGAUGGAUGAUGAUAGUGCCCGUGUGCACGAUGUGGGGGGAUGUACAUGAUGGCACUGAUUUUGCAAGAUGUGGGGGGAUGCACACAAUGGCGCCAACUAUGUGCACGAUGUGGGGGGAUGUACAUGAGCCAGGUGUGAUUAUGAUGAUAUGGAUGUUAUUUAUGUAUGUAUGCAUAUCUUUACUUAUGAAAUGAAAGAGCAUGGAAAUGAUAUAUGAUUGAAAUGUAUGUGAAAUUUGAUACAUUGCACUUUGGGGAUUUCAUGUGUUUCAUGUUGUCAGUGUCAUUUUAGCAAGAUGGCUUUUAUUGGGGGAAUGGAAAUCUUGUUCAUGUUGCUCUGUUCUCGCUGCAGCAAGAAACUCUCAAGUUUUUGAGAGCCUCACCAGUUUGGUUCUCGCUGUAGCGAGAACGCAUUCUCGCUGUAGCGAGAAACAUUCUGUUUUAGGACCAAAAUUUCGUUGCAGCGAGAUUCAUUCUCACUGCAGCGAAAAACUUUAUGUUUUGUUUCCUUUUUAGUUCGGUUGCUGCUCCAUUUUCCAUUUCUUUGGUACCAUAGUUGAGCUUGGACUUCCAACAUUAAGGAAUAAGUGAAUUAAGUUUAAAAUGAGUAAGUUUGGUGAGAAACUCUCGGCUAGUUGAGGAACCCUCAUUCGGCUAAUAACUUAAUCCCAACGUCGUUGUAGCAAAAAUUCAUUCUCAUUGCAGCAUAGCUUUGUUGUCGCAUUUGACUUGCUUGUGUAUCACUGAAGCCUUCAUUUUUCAAAUUAUUUGUUAUGUAUGGGUUCAUCAUUACCAAGUGAUUAAUAUUUAAGGGUUUAAUGAGGGGUUUUCAAUAUGAAUGAAAUUAAAUUGCAUUGUUUUAAAACAAGUGCAUCAUGAUUUUAAAUUCUCCCUUAUGGUUGCUUGUUCUCUUCCUUGUUCACUCACUGAGUUUAUGCUCACCGUUUUCAACUUCAUGUUUUUAGAUCACGAGGCAACCAGUAACGAGGACGAGGUGUCCUUGUAGACUUGUAUCCAUCUUUUGGUAGGUGUCUCGACAUUCAGUAGUUGUACAUUCGUCCGAGUCUCUCCGCUGGAAGUCGAGUAUUCUUUUGUUGUGUAUAGACAAACCUAAUGUAAAUUAUUAAGAUACAUGUUGUAGACAACGUAUAUACACUUGUUUAGUAUGCCAGUAUGAAGUGGCAAUGUUUAAUAUUACUUUGAUCCUAAGUUAAGAAAUGUGACUUAGUAGUUUAUGAUGGAAUGAUGAACAUGCCAGAUUAAUAGGCUUGCUUAGGCUUAGUGGACUACGUCCAUUGGGCCCAUGUGCCGGUCAUGGCCCAAAAUUUGGGUCGUGACAAAGACAUUGUGAAUCCGAUCCAACUCCGGGGGUAAUUCUAUUCUAUAUUGUCACUGGCCCAAUCCUUUCAAUGAUACGUAAAGGGUCUAAUGUAUCUCGGAUUGAGCUUUCCUCGCUUUGCAAACCGAAUCACACCUUUCAUUAUUCAACAAGAUACCACGAUUUACCACAAUAGUAAAAUCAAAUAAAACUUAAUAUCUCAAAGUAUUCAAAUCAUUACCUUUCCAAGGAAAAACCUUAAGAAAAACUCUAUCAUCAAUUUCAAAUUCUAGAUCUUUUCUCCGUCUAUCAGAGUAACUUUUUUGCCUGUCUUGAGCUGUCUUUAAUCGUUCUCGAAUAACCUUGAUCUUGUCAUUAGUUAGAUCAAUCAACUCUACAUUAAACAAUUUCCUGUCACCUACUUCAUCCCAAUAGAGUGGAGUUCGGCACUUUCUUCCAUACAGAGCCUUGUAUGGGACCAUCCUGAUACUAGACUGAAAAUUGUUAUUAUACGUGAACUCCACCAACGGCAAGUGUCUGUGCCAACUCCCAGUAAAAUCAAUGACACAAGCCCGUAGCAUAUCUUUCAAAGUCUAAAUAGUCCUUCCAGAUUGACCAUCUGUCUGUGGAUGAAAGGUAGUACUAAACCUCAACUUAGUUUCGAGAGCUUCUUGAAAUUUCGGUCAGAAUCAAAAAGUGAACCAAGGGUCUCGAUCUGACACAAUAGAAACUAGGACUCCAUGUAAUCUCACUAUCUCAUCUAUAUAAAGCUUAACUAGUUUCUCAAUGGAAUACGUGCUAUCAAUAGCCAAGAAAUAGCGGACUUAGUCAAUCUACCCACAAUCACCCAAAUAUCAUCCUUCCCACUCUCCUUUCGCGGUAAACCCAAUAUAAAGUCCAUAGUCACGUGCUCCCACUUCUAUUCAGGGAUAGGUAGAAGCUAAAGAGUACCUGAUGGUUUCUGAUGUUCCGUCUUGAUUUGUUGGCAUGUGAGACAUUUCAUCACAAACUCGACUAUGUCUCGUUUCAUACCCGGCCACUAAUAACAUUUAUCAUCGUAUCAUUUAUACAACUCAUUAAACACGUCGAAUUCAAAACUCAAAUCACCAUGAAUAAUUCUUCACUUUAGUUGAUCACAUAAUCAUCUCCAUAUAUAUAUAUAUAUAUGUGUAUGUCCAUAUACAUUUAAGUGCCAUCAUCCAUCACUAUCGGUAAGGACCCUCGUCAAUUAUGUUCGAACUAAAUUGCCUCUAUUCAUUCUAAUCCAUAACUAAGGUUCAAUAUCAUAUUCUCAUAGCACAUGUUUCCCCUUUUUACUUUCUAUUUUAUUCCCAUAGGUCAAGUUUAAUCCAUGAAUAUUAGGGUAUAAUCAACUCCAAAUUACCCUUUUGGAUGUUUGAGUUACCAUUUAAUUUACAUCCUACCAUAAAAUGUUUCUUAUGUAAUCCAUAUGGAUUCUCAUUGUGCCUAUGCAUAACUUCACAUAAUUUACAUGCUUAUACUCUUUUCUUAUCAUUUCCAAUCCUAUGUAUAAACUCCAUUAUACCACGCAUCCUUACAUCACAAUGUCAUUAACCACAUUUCAAUCAUUAGAUAUCAUUUUCAUCCAAUCACAAUCUGGUAUCCACAUAUGCUUUAUGAUCUUAUUGAUCCUUUAGAGGUUUUCUUUAAUUCAUCCUUGUAUCUUAUGCAAUAUCACAAUUCCUAAAAGUCAUCUUUGUUUCUCAUUUACCUUGUAUACUUCUAUCAUAUAUGUCCUUAUUCAUUUCCAUAUCAGUUAGUCACUUAAGAUUUAAAUUCAUUGAAGUCGUGUGCAUUUCUUACAUUUUGAAUACUAGUUUCCCUCGUUAGGAAAUUUUCAUUAACUAACUUCAUUAUCAGGAUUACCUUCAAUCAUCUUGUACUAUUUCUUUACACCAAUAUACCCAAACAUUCUCUUUAGCGUCUGCACAAUCAACUCUGAUAUUUACAAACUUAAUAUAGAUUUUACUUAAGUAUCCCUCGACAUCAUCGCCAAUAUCUAAUUUCAAUCUCACAUCGAGCGACUUCAUAACUUAUGCUUUAACCAUUAAGCUUCUUGACAAUUCUAAGUUCCACAUUUCCUUAUCAUGUAUAUAAAAUAUUUUAAAGUACUACUAACCAUUAUUCUUGACACUUACAUUUCGGUCUAUUCGUUUCAAAACUCUUAUACAUUGCCAAUAUAUAAGUCAACGAAGAAACUUUCCAAUUCAUUCAUAUCAAUACCUUCCAAAACCUUAAAACUCCAAUUAAUGAAGCUUAACAUCAAAUCCAAUAACCUUAAUUCAACUCGUAAGUUCAACUUCCUGUCUUUCACCUCGUAGUCCUACGUCCCAGAUAUAAGGUGUUUUAGCGCGGCGGCACGGUGGCUGCUGAAGUUUACUUAAUCAAUGCUAUUCGUCUAAAUUUAAGGUUACUAUAUUAAUCAUCCUCAACUGUUUGGUUUUCCUCCAAGCUUACGUCGCAAUUUUCAUAACCCUUAUAUUCUCUUGUGCUUAUCACAUAUAAUAGGCCAAGCCAAUAUUUUCAAAUUCAUCUCAUUCUUUAACACUUGUCAACAUCCAUUACCACAGGUAAGAAUCCUUUCUUACUUUCCUCAAUUUCGACAUAUCUCGAAUUGUACACCACUUAUCGUCGAGAUCUUGGCUUUGCUCUCCCGUUUUUAACCAAUUACAUUUAUAAAGUGAAUAAUUUACUAAAUUAUUACAUCUUGCCUUUGCGGUCAUAAGAUCAAAGUUUCUUAAGCUUAGGAUGCAGAAGCUUCCUCUUAGAGCAUAUCCGAAAAUCAACAUUUUUUGAAUACGUUACCUUUGAAGAAAUCAAAUUUAAGACUAAUCAUUUGCACCAUAGUUUGCAUAUUAAUCCAAUUAGAAUUUUAAAUUGAUCCUUACAGUAAUUUGUAUAUCAAGCUCCAAUAUAAAUCUCCAUAUGGCAUUUAGACUAGAAUCAACCUUUUCAAGUCAUUUAAUUUCAAACAACUAAAUCCAUAUCUAGUCCUUUAAUCCUUUGGCUCCACACUAAGCAUAGCAAAAUUCAAGCCUAUCCUUAGAGUAGAUCAAUAGAGAAUUCGAGUUCUCGAUCAAGAGGUAGUCUUGGUAAUUCAGUCGAAAACACAUCAGAGAACUCAUUUACUAUUGAGACAUCCUCUAACUUGGUUCCCCAUUUGCUGUAUCAAACACAUGUGCUAAAUAAGCCGAAUACCCUUUCUGCACUAGUUUCAAAGCUUUGAUAGCCGAGAUUACACAGGAUGGUAAUACUCGACGUUCCCCUACAAAUACAACUUCUACUCCUUCAGAAUUCUAAAGUACAACUUCCUUCUUGAAACAAUUUACAUUCAUCCGAUGUGCAGUCAACCAAUCCAUACCCAAUAUCAAAUCAAAAUCUCGAAUUUCUAGGGGACUUAAGUCGGCCCUGAAUUCUUCCUCACCAACUCUUAUUCCAUAGUCUCUAUAACAGGUGUUUCUAACCAACUACUCUCCUAGAGGGGUAUGAACUACAAUUCCCUCCUCUAAAAGUGAUAGGUUUCUAUCAGAAAAGGAUGCGAAUGUCGUGUUCACAUAAGAUCUAUCCGAACUAGAAUCCAUGAAGACAUAAGCAUCUCUGUCAAAUACAGACAUGGUACCUGUCACUGCACUAGGUCGGACUCGUGCCUCUUCCUUUCUCGACUGAUCUAGCGAGAGGUGGAAGUCCACUUUGAGGAGGCAUAAUAAUUUAUAAGAAGAACCUGAACGAGUUUAGACAACUUUAGGUUCUAUAUGCAGAUGCAUGCAUUCGACUUAAUCUAACCUAACUUGGGGUCACACUAACACUAUAGUUUUUAAAAUAACUUUAAAACCAAAAGCUCUGAUACUAAUUAGAUUGUCACGACCCAGUACUCCCUUUGAGCCCGUGACAACCCCCGCGAUGUCUCGAUAGACAUUCAUUACCCGAAAUGCCAUCUGAAACCUCGCAAGGCUCUUGCAUCAAUUUUACGUCUCCCCUAUGAGCAACAGUUACUAAAUAUCAUGUUUUAAGAGAAUAUAAACUAUUUUUAAAUCAAAAACAAAUAAAAGUAAUUUCUGCCACACAGGGGUAUUUUGGUCAUUUUUACCUGAAAAUUUUGAAACUUGGUGAAAAUACAACAUACGAUCGAAAAAUAUACAUUUCUUAUCUAAAAAUAAUUUUAGUAAUCUAAAUCAUCCAUUUAAAAUAAAAUUUUGGCUAAUUAAACUAAAUAAAAAUAUUAAAUAAAAUAUUUCAUUUUCUUAUAAAACAAUAUUUAUAAAACCCUGCGUAAAUAAUUUUUGUAGCGUAAAAGUAAAAUAAAUUCAUACAUACAGUGGCACAAACAGCCAGGUAUACAAAAUAUUCUACAAUGACAUGUGGGCCCCCAAAAUAAACAUAUAUGUACAAGACUAUAGACUUGAGAUUUCUAAGGGUGCAAACCCAAAAGCAAACCCUCGACAUAAUCAGCGGUCUACAGACUGUCCUGAGCCUGAAAUGAGUGAAAAGAAGGGGUGAGUUUUUAUAAACCCAGUGAGUAAGCAAAUUUGAUCUAUAACAUCUAAAACCGAGUAAAUGGAGACAAUUUAAAACAUCUCAUCAUAAUAUGAUUCAUAACAUCAAAUCUCAUUUCAACCCAUGUAAAUCAAUUUCAUUUCAUCAAAAUCAACAAGGCUUAUGAUUCUCGUAAAAACUUGGCUCGUGCCAAAAACUUGCACUCGGUGACACCUUGUGCCGAGGCAUCCAACCGAGUCCGCCAAGGCUGUUAAAAUAACAUAUGAGUAAAAAACUCUUUUUUUUUUUUUACAUUUAAAAGCACAGCCAUUCCUUGGCGUUGGCUAAGUUUCACCUUCACAUGGUGGUUCGGCGUGAAGUGAACUCUAACGUUACCAUAGGAGAUACCCUCCGCGCCUAUUGUACCAAGGUAAAAUAUAACCGGGUUUACCGUGCCCCUCUAAUAGGCUAGUCCACGGAAACUCGCCCACUGCAGUAAGCUAAUCAAAUAACCCACCAAUUCAAUAAAAUUUUCGACAGCAUGACAUGGCUAAUAUAAUAUUACCAGCUUGUCAAGGCAAAGCAAAACAAUUCAUAUAUUCCACACAAACACAAAUCUAGCCAUGCUUGCCAUCACAUUGUCAUAAGCCAUCAAUUCAAACCAUAUGUCAAAACAUAUAUAUAACACAAGUAUAUAGUCUCCACUUACUCAAUUUCCAAAACCAGUAUUCAAUUUCAAAGCAAGUUAUAAAUCUCAUUUUGUUUAAUCAACACUUCAAUUAUAAAACAUAAAAACGAGUAUAAACUACUUUAGAUAAUUAAGAUGAAAGUUUGAUUACUCACAAUAGCAAGAGUUUGGAGUACUCCUAUUCUUGGUCCUCGGGCACAAUAUCUUUACCCUUAUCAAAGGGCUCACCACCUAUACAUAAUACACGACACGUAAUUCAAUAUAUUUAUGCCAAACUGUUAUGAAACUAUUUCAGGCUCUAUAUGAAUGCAUGACGUUGAAUGAGAAUUGUCCGAAUAAUCACUUAAAGACGGUGUUCUACAUGGGUUCAAUUAUGAUCGGAAUGAAUUUGUAUUCGACCUAAUUCAAACUAUACACCAUUGAUUUAACCAAAACAUCCGAUUCUACUCCAAAUAUAUUCAUUACACUCCCAAUAAUCUAAUACACCAAAGCAUUACAAUGAACUUGAUUUUUGACUAACUUCACCAUUUUUCGAAAUUCAUUCCGAUUCCAAACUAACAUACUAAUCAAUGUCUACACAGUCUCGUAAAUCCAUAUAUAUCAUUAGGAAUCAAAUCCAAGUCCAUUUACUAUGAUUUUCUCAGUUUCCAUCAAGCCAUUUUCUAAAGGAACUAUACUUUUCAAUAACCGAUUUCGAUAUCCAACAUCAUAAUUCAUCAAUUCCUAGCUCAGUAAUAUGAAUUACAACCAAAUCCAUCAUCAACAUGCUCUAUAGAAAAUUCGGCCAAAUGAGGGUGGUUGAAGAACAUGUGAUUUUCUUGCUUGUUUUUCCUUCCAAACAUCACAAAAUGACUAAAAACACUAGGAUAUUAUGAAAUCUAGCAAAAUUCAUCACCAAAACUUCUCUCUCUAGAUUUGGCUAGCAAAGGUUCCCUCUUGAAAACUUGAAUUUCAGCCAUGGAGAGUGAAAAAUAAUGCAUGGGAAAGGUAGAUCACAAGCUAAAAUUAAAAAAUCUUACCUUUACUUGCUUGAUUCCUUGAAAUCCAAUAAUUUCUCUUGAAUUUUUCCUUCCUAGGGUUUGUUCUUCUCUUUUUCUCUUUGUUCCCUUGCUUG